RNAcentral lists this transfer RNA (74 nucleotides) under Pseudobryopsis hainanensis. RNAcentral describes it as "tRNA-Thr". It matches the Rfam family "tRNA". Rfam says of the family: Transfer RNA (tRNA) molecules are approximately 80 nucleotides in length. Their secondary structure includes four short double-helical elements and three loops (D, anti-codon, and T loops). Lineage: Eukaryota; Viridiplantae; Chlorophyta; Ulvophyceae; Bryopsidales; Pseudobryopsidaceae. The record is from RNAcentral.
GCCUCCUUAGCUCAGUUGGUUAGAGCUUUUGCAUGGUAAGCAAAGGGUCGUCGGUUCAAAUCCGAUGGGAGGCC